UUCACACCAUAAAACACCGAGGCCUAGAACCAUGUUGCUUGUGAUACCGGCGAGGAGUUUUCAAUACAAAUUCUCAAACGCUGGGGCUACAACGAAGGCUGCGAAACCAAGGACAAAGAACGAAAUCAUUCAUAAUGAUCGAGGAAGUGACUAAUGCGCUACAUCCGCAACCAAGACUGGAAAAUGAACUUAAGGACAAGUUCGCAUGAGGUGAGGUCCAAAUUGUGGAAACAAGCUGGUAAUCAUUGACGACAUCCUUGUGGAGUUGCAGCCUCUGCUUCAAGUAGAUGGUUCGGGUGUUUUGUUUAGGAGAGUUUAGUUUUCUUGUGUCCUCUUUUUUUUAUUUUUGCCUUUUUUGCUA
Cajanus cajan (pigeon pea) is the source of this 361-nucleotide non-coding RNA. Lineage: Eukaryota; Viridiplantae; Streptophyta; Magnoliopsida; Fabales; Fabaceae. The record is from RefSeq and is a predicted model, not a curated record.